AGCUCCGAGCUAUCAGCACAGAGCCUGACGUGGGACUCGAACUCACGAACUGUGAGAUCAUGACCUGAGCCGAAGGUGGACGCUUAACCAACUGAGCCACCCAGGCGGCCCCAUACGUGUUUUUAAAAGAGGAUACUAUUUGGAAAAAGAUUUUGAAAAGCCCCAUGUAUAGGGGACAGUUUCUUUCUUCCUCGCAUAACACAGAAGAUUUGGAGAAAUAUUCUCAAGCUGGGUCCUCUAGAGCCUGUAGGGAGGUUUGAACCCUAUCUCUUCCCACCCUAUUCCUUUGCCAGUAGCCUUCUCCGCUCCUGUAUCGCCUAUUUCUUCAGUGCCCUGGGAAGAAAUUCUCACAAGUGCUUUCAAAGGCCUCCAUUUCAAUCCACCCACCUCCACUGAACUCUCUGCUGCUUUGGCCCCCAAGUAAAACCUUUUGAAACCUGGAAUACCACGUUCUUCCGUAGGGAAUUUUCUGUACCAAGGAUCAGGCCUACCUGAUCAAACCCCUGAAUUCAACCCCUUUCCUUUUGCUUGCGCUGUAAGUGGCCACCAGGUGGCGCCUCAGAGUCGACUGCAGUUCUGCUUUAAAGAAAAGUCUGCUUCUCCCGUGCUUAGGUUUUGCUCCAGGAAGCGAAUGCAUUCCUGAAGGGGGAAGAGACAUUCUAGUUGCAUUUUUAAUAUAGUUAAGACAUUUUUUUUUUUUUUUUUUGCCAUUUAGGUCUUCAGCUCAGCUUUCAGCCAAAUAACAAAGGAAGCACACUGUAGCCUGUGUCUUCAGCUCUACCUAGAAACCUUGGGCUCCUUGCCUUUUCCUUAAAACCUGCUCCGAGGAACAACAAACAUACCUUCGCUGACAGCCAUAAUGCAGUUACCUGCCAGGGGAUGCUUCACAGUGGAGACACCGAGGCCCAGAGAAGUAAAGUAAAUUGCCCAAGAUCACGGUGAGAGAUGCCUUUGGAGUUAACGUCGGAACCUUGUUAGUCUGACUCAGUAGCCACAUCCUGAACCGAGUAUUAAUUUUGCAGGGAAUGACCUGUGUGCCUAAGACCUGAGACACCUGCUUGGAGCAGAAGGAAGCAGAGAAACUUAAGGCUGAGAAUGUUCAUCUUGAACUUCUGCGUAGCAUUGGACAUCGUAUUACAAAGGUUCUGGCUGUUGCAGAUCCUUUUUAAAACAAGGCAUUAUGUACCUACA
This is a long non-coding RNA of Felis catus (domestic cat), 1191 nucleotides long. RefSeq lists it as uncharacterized. Lineage: Eukaryota; Metazoa; Chordata; Mammalia; Carnivora; Felidae. The record is from RefSeq and is a predicted model, not a curated record. The transcript is spliced from 3 exons.